AGUGAACGCUGGCGGUAGGCCUAACACAUGCAAGUCGAACGGCAGCACAGUAAGAGCUUGCUCUUACGGGUGGCGAGUGGCGGACGGGUGAGGAAUACAUCGGAAUCUACUUUUUCGUGGGGGAUAACGUAGGGAAACUACGCUAAUACCGCAUACGACCUACGGGUGAAAGCAGGGGAUCUUCGGACCUUGCGCGAUUGAAUGAGCCGAUGUCGGAUUAGCUAGUUGGCGGGGUAAAGGCCCACCAAGGCGACGAUCCGUAGCUGGUCUGAGAGGAUGAUUCGGCAACAUGGAAAUGAGAAACGGGUCAGAACUCUAAGGGAAGGAGGCGGUGGGAAUAUUUGGAAAAGGGGGGAAGCCCUAAGCCGGCCAUACGGGGUGGUGAAGAAGGGCCUUGGGUUGGAAAAGCCUUUUUGUUGGAAAGAAAAGCAGCAGGUUAAUACCCCGCUGUUCUGACGGUACCCAAAGAAUAAGCACCGGCUAACUUCGUG
RNAcentral lists this ribosomal RNA (491 nucleotides) under uncultured bacterium. Its description in RNAcentral is "partial 16S ribosomal RNA". It matches the Rfam family "Bacterial small subunit ribosomal RNA", at positions 29 to 507 of the family's 1533-position model. The record is from RNAcentral.